RNAcentral lists this ribosomal RNA (246 nucleotides) under uncultured bacterium. RNAcentral describes it as "partial 16S ribosomal RNA". It matches the Rfam family "Bacterial small subunit ribosomal RNA", at positions 15 to 244 of the family's 1533-position model. The record is from RNAcentral.
AAUCCUGGCUCAGGACGAACGCUGGCGGCGUGCCUAACACAUGCAAGUCGAACGGAGAAUUUUAUUUCGGUAGAAUUCUUAGUGGCGAACGGGUGAGUAACGCGUAGGCAACCUGCCCUUUAGACGGGGACAACAUUCCGAAAGGAGUGCUAAUACCGGAUGUGAUCAUCUUGCCGCAUGGCAGGAUGAAGAAAGAUGGCCUCUACAAGUAAGCUAUCGCUAAAGGAUGGGCCUGCGUCUGAUUAG